Long non-coding RNA from Brassica napus (rape), 1024 nucleotides. RefSeq lists it as uncharacterized. Lineage: Eukaryota; Viridiplantae; Streptophyta; Magnoliopsida; Brassicales; Brassicaceae. The transcript is spliced from 2 exons. The record is from RefSeq and is a predicted model, not a curated record.
UGUAGGAACCGAAUAUUUCUAUCGUUCCACUUCGAUUAAAUGGUCCUAUCUACUAUUUAAUUCAAAGAAAAAGAGAUGUUGAUUAGCUGUGUAAGGGUUUAUUCUAAAGAGAUCAAGUAGUGAUGUUAUUUUAAUAUGUUGAACAUUUGAGUUUGUGGGAAAUGUUCAAACCCCACAUACUAAUUAAUAUUAUUAUUGCGUCUAUUGUGAGUCAAGCAAGACCACCAUGACUUUGACAGGAAGUCAGUUUGUUUCAGUUUCAAAAGCACACGCUCGUCGGCGAGAGGCUCAUUUCCAAAGAAGUGAAAAAGCUAAGAAAAUAGUUAGGGGGGGAAAUAAAUUAAAAUAAGAGAAAUUAGGACGUAUAUGCACAGAUUUCACAGAUAUUAAGAAAAUACCACGUAACUAUUCCAAUUUAUUUUAAUACCAUUUCACCCCUACAACCAAACACGCUUACUCUAUAUCUACUCUACAUAUAAUAUCAGAAGAUAUCACCAGACCCACCUAUUCUUCGUUUGAGCCCUUUCUAAACAGUAAUAUCCCCCAAAUCCUUUUUUUCAUUUAAUCAAAAAUUAUAAUUUUUCUACAGAGACCAAAACUAGAGAAUUUACCGUCGGCCAUUCCACAGAUUGUCACCACACCGGAGCCUGUUGUGGUCACUGAUUUUGACAUCAAAUCAGAGUCUGGGUGAAACGAAUCUCAAGAAGAAGGAGAGGAGAUCGAUGGACCACCCUCCCGCCGAAAAUAGUUCGAUAUUGUGUAAGUCCCACACACGCUAGAGAGCUGGAUGAAAAAUGCAAGGUUGAAGUGAUUUCGAUGGUAGUUGAUGCAACACAUUCUCAGAAGAGCUGACGUGAGAAGACAAGGUUGAUGAGGAACAUGUUGGCAACCUUGUACGACUAAUCGAGCAAGGUCAUGUGUUCAACAAGUCUAUGUACGCUAUAUUUAGAUUUGCUCUGGAUUUUUUUUUUUUUGAUUUUCCAGUGUACCUUAAACAAUAACCUAACAAAACGGCUAUUGAAGA